CGCACGGGUGCGUAACGCGUAUGCAACCUACCUUAUACAAAGGGAUAGCCCAUGGAAACGUGGAUUAAUACCUUAUAGGACUAAUAUUUCGCAUGAUUUAUUAGUUAAAAUUUCGAUGGUAUAAGAUGGGCAUGCGUCUGAUUAGCUAGUUGGUGAGGUAACGGCUCACCAAGGCAACGAUCAGUAGGGGUUCUGAGAGGAUUAUCCCCCACACUGGUACUGAGACACGGACCAG
This 235-nucleotide ribosomal RNA is filed under the name uncultured bacterium. RNAcentral describes it as "partial 16S ribosomal RNA". It matches the Rfam family "Bacterial small subunit ribosomal RNA", at positions 99 to 334 of the family's 1533-position model. The record is from RNAcentral.